RNAcentral lists this ribosomal RNA (468 nucleotides) under uncultured bacterium. RNAcentral describes it as "partial 16S ribosomal RNA". It matches the Rfam family "Bacterial small subunit ribosomal RNA", at positions 28 to 507 of the family's 1533-position model. The record is from RNAcentral.
GACGAACGCUGGCGGCGUGCUUAACACAUGCAAGUCGAACGGAAAGGCCCUGCUCUUGUGGGGUGCUCGAGUGGCGAACGGGAGAGUAAAGCGAGAGUAACCUGCCCUUGACCUUGGGAUAACUUCAGGAAACUGGGGCUUAUAUCGGAUAGGAGCUCCUGCUGCAUUGUGGGGGUGGGACAGUUUCGGCGGUUGGGGAUGGACUUGCGGCUUAUCAGCUUGUUGGUGGGGUAGUGGCUUACCUAGGCUUGGACGGGUAGCCGGCCUGAGAGGGUUACCGGCAACAUUGGGACUGAGAUACGGCGCAGACUCCGAGGGGAGGGAGCAGUGGGGAAUAUUGCACAAUGGGGGGGAGGCGGAUGCGGCAACGCCGCGUGCGGGAUGACGGCCUUCGGGUUGUAAACCGCUUUCGCCUGUGACGAAGCGUGAGUGACGGUAAUGGGUAAAGAAGCACCGGCUAACUACGUG